This 24-nucleotide non-coding RNA is filed under the name Arabidopsis thaliana (thale cress). Lineage: Eukaryota; Viridiplantae; Streptophyta; Magnoliopsida; Brassicales; Brassicaceae. The record is from RNAcentral.
GUGGCUAAACACAAGCAAUGAUGC